CCUACGGGAGGCAGCAGUGGGGGAUAUUGCACAAUGGGGGGAACCCUGAUGCAGCGACGCCGCGUGGGUGAAGGAGCGUUUCGGCGCGUAAAGCCCUAUCCGCAGGGAAGAAGAUGACGGUACCUGGCCAAGAAGCCCCGGCUAACUACGUGCCAGCAGCCUCGGUAAUACGUAGGGGGCAAGCGUUAUCCGGAUGUACGGGGGGUAAAGGGGGCGCCGACGGCCAUGCAAGCCAGGAGUGAAAUCCCGGGGCCCAACCCCGGGACUGCUCUUGGAACUGCAUGGCUGGAGUACAGGAGGGGCAGGCGGAAUUCCUAGUGUAGCGGUGAAAUGCGUAGAUAUUAGGAGGAACACCGGUGGCGAAGGCGGCCUGCUGGACUGUGACUGACGUUGAGGCCCGAAGGCGUGGGGAGCAAACAGGAUUAGAUACCCGUGUAGUC
Molecule: ribosomal RNA, 440 nt
Filed under: uncultured bacterium
Lineage: Bacteria
Description: partial 16S ribosomal RNA
Rfam family: Bacterial small subunit ribosomal RNA
Source: RNAcentral